GAUGAAGAACGUAGCGAAAUGCGAUAAGUAAUGUGAAUUGCAGAAUUCAGUGAAUCAUCGAGUCUUUGAACGCACAUUGCGCCCCCUGGUAUUCCGGGGGGCAUGCCUGUCCGAGCGUCAUUGCUGCCCUCAAGCACGGCUUGUGUGUUGGGCCCCCGUCCCCGGUUUCCCCCGGGGACGGGCCCGAAAGGCAGCGGCGGCACCGCGUCCGGUCCUCGAGCGUAUGGGGCUUUGUCACCCGCUCUGUAGGCCCGGCCGGCGCCAGCCGACACCCAACUUUAUCUCUAAGGUUGACCUCGGAUCAGGUAGGGAUACCCGCUGAACUUAAGCAUAUCAAUAAGCGGAGGA
RNAcentral lists this unclassified non-coding RNA (348 nucleotides) under soil metagenome. RNAcentral describes it as "partial contains 5.8S ribosomal RNA, internal transcribed spacer 2, and large subunit ribosomal RNA". The stretch from base 1 to 120 matches the Rfam family "5.8S ribosomal RNA", at positions 35 to 154 of the family's 154-position model. The record is from RNAcentral.